Molecule: small nuclear RNA, 21 nt
Filed under: Arabidopsis thaliana (thale cress)
Lineage: Eukaryota; Viridiplantae; Streptophyta; Magnoliopsida; Brassicales; Brassicaceae
Description: snRNA_12228
Source: RNAcentral
UGGCGGCUUGUAAUUAGUCGA